UACGUAGGGUGCAAGCGUUAAUCGGAAUUACUGGGCGUAAAGCGUGCGCAGGCGGUUAUGUAAGACAGGUGUGAAAUCCCCGGGCUUAACCUAGGAACUGCAUUUGUGACUGCAUAGCUAGAGUACGGUAGAGGGGGAUGGAAUUCCGCGUGUAGCAGUGAAAUGCGUAGAUAUGCGGAGGAACACCGAUGGCGAAGGCAAUCCCCUGGACCUGUACUGACGCUCAUGCACGAAAGCGUGGGGAGCAAACAGG
RNAcentral lists this ribosomal RNA (253 nucleotides) under uncultured bacterium. RNAcentral describes it as "partial 16S ribosomal RNA". It matches the Rfam family "Bacterial small subunit ribosomal RNA", at positions 524 to 776 of the family's 1533-position model. The record is from RNAcentral.